Vollenhovia emeryi is the source of this 389-nucleotide long non-coding RNA. RefSeq lists it as uncharacterized. Lineage: Eukaryota; Metazoa; Arthropoda; Insecta; Hymenoptera; Formicidae. The transcript is spliced from 3 exons. The record is from RefSeq and is a predicted model, not a curated record.
UUCUCCAAUUGAAGACAUUGCUGCAAGAACGAGCAAUGUCUUCAAUUUCUUUUAAUAAGUAAAAAAAAUUCAGAUCUCUUUCUGCAGAAAGUGUGAUCUUUUCGCUCUGUGGGAAGAGCUGAUUUAAAACGAUGUCUGGAUUACAUAGCGGGUCAAAGGCAGAUUGCACUUCAUACAACAUCAUUGGUUAUAUGUAUAACUUCCAUAAUGCGACAAAAUCGGUCUAUAACUAAGAUAAAGUCGUUAAGUUUGCGACGCAGUAUAGUAACAUAUGUAAUUAUUGAAAAUAUAAGACGAAUCUAAUGGCGUCAGAUUCUUGCGAUGUCGAGAUCAAGAAACAAUACAGGGUGAGGCAUUUAAAACUGUUUUUCAGAAUAUUUGGAAAAAUA